GCCACACCUCCUCCAGUAUGAUUGACUCGGUACAUUUUGUCACCUGUCUGGGUAGUUUUUCUACCAGGAGUCGGGUUCUUAGCGCCGAGGGUACCACUAUAUGUAAAGAACAACCGAAUAUCUAAAUUCUGCCAGCUGCGUCUACCAGAUUCCGGGUACUGUUGGAAAUAAUUAAGUCUUCAACUAGUAAAUUAAAGCACAUUUAAUAGAACAGUCGCCGAGCAUACAUUAGUGAAUGCUUAUUUAUUUGUAUAUAUUGACGUCAAGCAGCAACGUCAAAGUUAUAGAUUUACAAACGUGAUGACAUGCAGCGCCGCUUCACUUACAAAAAGCGUUUUUCCAGCAAUACCUAAAGUAGAGUUCUGCGUAAAAACAAUAUAUUUAUGGGUACCUAUGCUAAUGAAGAUUUGGUUUUACUUUUAAAACUGCUAAAACAAAUCAGUAAACCGAGAAAAACUUAUUGGAAUGCUGUAUCAAAUGUGUAAUACGUGAAAUGGAAUACUGCCUAAAACUAUCUGGUGCUUACUAAUACAUUACUGAAAAGAAUGCAAACACCGAAUCAUUUGUUGAGUUCCAAGAUUGUGUUGUCACGAACUUAUUGACAUAUUAAUGAGAAAGUUGAUAUAUCUUUACAUCUUUUGGAAUAAAAGUGGCAACAAUAAAAAAGGUUUGACUUUUCAAAGAAUCACAAUCCGAAGUUCAAAUUACAACAUAUCUCGAUGGAAUGGAGAACCAGGAAAUAAUAAAUUCUCCAAUACAUCUGUUUAGAAAUUUUUCAUCAGUCUGUAAUUUUUAUUACUUACUAGUGCAUAUAUGUGAGUAUUGUUACAUACAAAAAAGAAGAAUUUAUUCUUAUGACUCAUGUUAUAAAACAUUCUUCCAAUAAUUGCAUUCAAAGUUUUCUCUUUUGAUUCACCUAAUGAAGAAACUUCAUUUUAGCCAUAUAUGGUCAAAGGCAUUUAAAUUAUAUUCAUCUUGAAAAUUUAAUUGCAGAUCGGAAGUAAAGAGAUGUGUCGUGCUACUGACGUGCAGAAAAAAGUGUCUUAAGAACGCAAUUUUCUCAUUGACCACUUAACGGUCAAUGAAACCAUAUGCUUGCAAAGUUUGUGAUCUUUUCUCAGCUUCGGAAUUGAAAGAAUCGUUUAUUGGUGCAUACGAAAGAGAAACCACAUACAAUUGACAUUUGUAAUAAAGCAUUUUUUUUUAGCUGUCACAUUUAAAAAUUCAUUCAAUGUCGUGUACGAAUGAGAAAUCCUACGUUUGCAGCUUUUGCAACAAAGUCUUUACUAUGAUUUGGAAUUUAAAAAGACAUUUACAGCUGCAUACACAGAAGAAACAGUUUAUAUGCGAGUUUUGCAAAAAAACCUUUUCCCGGAAAGAGCAUUUAAAAGUACAUAUGCGUCUGCAUACGGGUGAGAAACCACAUACAUGUGAAUUUUGUAACAAAUCCUUUUCGGAUAAAAAGAGUUGCAUAAUACAUAUACGUUUUCAUACGGGAGAGAAACUAUAUGCAUGUGAUUUUUGCGGCAAACCCUUUUCGG
Long non-coding RNA from Argiope bruennichi, 1541 nucleotides. RefSeq lists it as uncharacterized. Lineage: Eukaryota; Metazoa; Arthropoda; Arachnida; Araneae; Araneidae. The transcript has 3 exons. The record is from RefSeq and is a predicted model, not a curated record.